RNAcentral lists this ribosomal RNA (253 nucleotides) under uncultured bacterium. RNAcentral describes it as "partial 16S ribosomal RNA". It matches the Rfam family "Bacterial small subunit ribosomal RNA", at positions 524 to 776 of the family's 1533-position model. The record is from RNAcentral.
UACAGAGGUCUCAAGCGUUGUUCGGAUUCAUUGGGCGUAAAGGGUGCGUAGGCGGCGCGGUAAGUCGGGUGUGAAAUCUUGGAGCUUAACUCCGAAACUGCAUUCGAUACUGCCGUGCUUGAGGACUGGAGAGGAGACUGGAAUUUACGGUGUAGCGGUGAAAUUCGUAGAUAUUCGCAAGAACACCAGUGGCGAAGGCGGCUCACUGGUCCGGUACUGACGCUGAGGUGCGAAAGCGUGGGGAGCAAACAGG